ACAUUUUCUCUGUGCAACACAAAACCUCUGCGAGCCUAGCCUCUUCCUGCUUCUGGGGCACAAGAUCAUGAAGACCCUGAGUGGCUAAUUAAGGUUUGGUGUAGGACUGGCAAGAUGGUUCUGCAGGCCAGCGCAGCUCAGGCCUCGUGGGAGGAGCUUCUUUGUGAAGAGGUGGUGGCUGAUGCAGAAGCUCAGCUGCUCGCAUUGCCUGUGGAGUGCUCAGCCGCAAACGGGACCCUGCAUAGGAGGCUGUCCCCACCCACCCCAGACUCAGAGCCCGUCGUGGAAGAGGUGGCAGAAAGGCUGGAGCUUCUAGCCUUAAUGCCGCGCUCCUCCAGAGCAGCAUCUGGAACCGG
Long non-coding RNA from Meriones unguiculatus (Mongolian gerbil), 356 nucleotides. RefSeq lists it as uncharacterized. The transcript is spliced from 3 exons. Lineage: Eukaryota; Metazoa; Chordata; Mammalia; Rodentia; Muridae. The record is from RefSeq and is a predicted model, not a curated record.